UUUUUGUACACUUCUUUAACAAUUCAUCAUGUGAGGGUUUUGGAUUUACCUAUCCCAAAAAUGUUUACAUUAACAUAAAAGGUGUGCUUUCAGCAUUAUUAUUCCUUCUGGGUGUCGGUUUCUUUCCUAAUGAGGAAGGUGGUCUAUGCGCCACUGCCUAACUAGACUUUUGUGGAAUUCAGAAAGAAAGUGAAUAUGCAAGUGCCCAGAAGAGGAGGAUGAGGCUGAAGAUGAGCAGGAUGAGGCUCGGAUGAGGAGGACGAGGCUGAAGAUAAGGAGGAUGAAGAUGAGGAUGCAGAUGUAGACAAAGAUGAAGGAGGGCAGGGGAAGUGGGUAGGGCAGCUCUCCCGGCCGCUCUCAUUCAAAGGGCCAUGGUGGGACUCACUGAGCCACUGUCCCAGGAGCUGAGCCUCAGUAGAGUUAGAUAAGCCAUCUAAGCAGUUUGCUCUGGCCUGGGCCUCUGGCCACUUUCCUCAAACACCCAAGGCCCAAAGAAGGCCCCUCAGCCAGCCAAGCAUGCUAGGAGAGUUAUCUGCACGUGAGUGGGGUCAGGGGUAGGGCUCCUGGGGACCUGCCUGUGACCCUUGACACCUGGCUGGAGCUCUUGGGGGCAGGAAGGGGUGCCAGGAAUAUGAAGUUGUGGGAUGGAUGACGGAUUUCUCACCCUUACUCCAUCACAUGAUUUUGUGCCAUUGUUGAUGUUCUCACCCUGGCUUUCCACAAAGGACUAUUCAGGGGUCAAAUGAGAAACUGUGGCUGGAUGUGCCUGCACAGGACAAAGCAUUGCAUGGAGUGAGAGAUCAUCAUUAGCGGGUUUCCUGGUGUCUUCCUGGAUGUCUGAUCUAAAUUUAGGUCCUUGUAGUCACAGUUGAAUCCCAGCCACUGCCUUUCCUUCCUUCCUGCAGGCUCUCUGUAGCACAGCCACGGGAAGUCACUGCUGGAAGGGGUCUGC
Molecule: long non-coding RNA, 952 nt
Filed under: Homo sapiens (human)
Lineage: Eukaryota; Metazoa; Chordata; Mammalia; Primates; Hominidae
Description: non-protein coding lnc-HAAO-6:1
Source: RNAcentral